CAGCCCCAGGUACCACACAUCCUUUUCCUCCUCUGCAUUCUCCUUUUCGACCUUUCUCUUCAUUGUGGCACGCUUGCUGGUGGAUUGUGCUGUGCACACCAGCUGUUUGUGGGAAUGUCUAAGCCAUUGUGCUGUGAUGAUGUGACAGUUUAUUUGUGCAGUAAUUCUUUUGAGAGGGAUCUCCCUAAGGCAUCCGUAAUAUUAAUGUCGUUAGUGUGAGAAUCUAGUCUUUUUCUUGGAUGACGGAGGUUCAUAUCACCAGAAAAUAAAUCAUUUUGUAAUAGCUUCGCCGCUGAAAAAAAAAGUUACAAUAACAUGUGCCGUUUGUUUUCAGCCAGAGUUUUUGAAAACAUGCUUAUGUGUUAUCCAGUCAGUUAUUACAGGAGCCAAAGAUGAAUAGGAGUAGAUUACAAGGUAGUUAAAGUUGUCAUAUUUAUCCUUGCAGCUGCCCAAACGGGAAAACAUGAGAACCAUGUACUAACCAUUUAACUAUUGCAAAGAAAUUUCUAUUUUGUCCUCCAUUUCUUGAAAGAUCUGCCACAUGACAGAAUAAAAAAAACAUCAAUAGUUGUGUUGUCUUCCAAUUGCAAAAGAAAUAUUACUCAUAAAUCACACAAGCCUUCAACUGAAGGCACCGAUAUACAGAGGACCAUAAUGCAUGAAAGAAAUUUGGGUUUAACUCCGUUAUUUGUGAGCCUGUUGAGCCAUAUUCCUUGUUGAUUUGUAACACAUAUGAAAUUUGAACCACGCGUGUCUUCAGAAUUUUUUCUAAGCAUCUGUCCGUGUGGGACAUUCAUAUACUGUAAGGUGGGGCCUAAUUUUCUCUAUGAACUCCUCGAGCUCCUUACUGACACUAUUCAAUUUGAGCACAGUAAGGUUUGGUCGCAACUCACAGAUGCCCAAUGCAACUUCUGGUGAGUAGUUGGAAGUAUUUGAAGAAUUAUCUGCCCAUUUAAUAUCCCCAUCAAGAACUAAGCUCUCAACAUAGCGAAGGCUUGGUGCAGUGAACACAGAUGAUGGAAUCUUGUCCCCAGUCAAUUUCAAAUGCCCAAGGAGCUCUAGCUUCUGGAGAGCACGUUCCAAUGCUACUCCAUGGUUGGCAUCAUUAAAUCCAUGCAACUCCAAAGACUGAAGAUUGGUCAUCAUGUCCAAUGGACAUGUCAGUCCACCCCAAUUUUCCGCAGGUUUUACACCAUGUAGAGUUUGUAGGUUAUUCAGUUCACCAACGGAGUUUGGCAGUUGAAGCUGUGCAGCGAUCACGUGCCGCAAUGUCUUAAUCCUCCAGAAUUUUGGCGCAAUAAUUUUGACUUUGCUGUUCCUUAUGUCUAGGGUCUGCAAGUUGAGGAGCCUUCCAAUGCUUGAUGGGAGAUUCUCCAAAUCACAGCUGGUAACACCUAUGUACCGUAAGUGAAUCAUAUCGCCAAUCGCAUCGGGCAGCUCAGCAAGAUGUAUUCCACCUAUGGAGAUUACCCGAAGGAAUUUAGAGCCACACAGAAACUUUAAUGGGUCUUUCCUUGGUAUGUUCUUUGGGUCAUUCUUCAGGUCCGGUGUAGCGCUGGCACCUUCUCCCUCUUCGACACGACAUAUGAAGGAACGCAGCUUGGGGAAUCUGUUUCCAAAAGGAAUAUAGUUUCCACUGUCAUUCUGAAUGGAAAGGCGGCGCACUGCUGCUGGUGCAAGAACAUCAGUGUUAUCAUGAAUCUCAAUGAAGCUAGCUUCACGAGCCUCUGAUUGCAGGAACCGUAGAAGUCGAUUGUGAACCUGCACUAACUCAAUCUUUUCGCAUUCAUUCCUAUAUUUAACCUCAACUAGGAACCUUGAGAUAAGCUCCUUGAGAUAUUCUUGGGCUAGGUCCUCCAUGUUCUUGCCCUUUUCUGGCUUGAUGAAGCCCUCGGCUAUCCACAUGCGCAUUAUCUGAUCCGCAGGGUGAGUGAUAUUUGUAGGGUAAGCAGCAAAGUAGAGGAAGCAUGAUUUGAGGUCAUGCGGGAGGUCAUCAAAACUUGUUGAGAAGAUCCUCUCAAUUGUCAUUCUAUUGGACAGUUUAGCUUCUGUGGUUGGCAUCAACUGCUGGAGCAAGGCAUCCCACUCAAAGGGCUUUUCUUUCGUCAAGAGAACACCGGCUAUCUUGUUACCUUGACUCUCUCCCGCUUCUACGCCAGGCAUAAGCUGUUGCAGCACUGAAUCCCACUCGACAGGCAUCUCUUUUGACCGUAAUAGUCCUGCCAAAACCACAAUCGCUAGAGGAUGACCCCCAGUUAUCUUAAAGACUUGUUCAUUGUAACUGACUUUAUACCCUCUUGGCUUCGUGUAGUUGUAACCAUAGACCCUGCGACAGAACAGUUCUGCACUUUGGCUUUCAUUCAACCUGCCCAGCUGGAUUGUACUUCCACUAAUGUUUUUGGAAUCAGCAUCUACUUUUUUGUUGAGGGUGUCAGCAUGCUUUGCAACUUCCUGGCUCUCAGGCUCUAAGAUAAGCACCACUCUGCUGCCAUUUCUGUUGUCUGGCAAGCUUGCCUUCACACAAUUAAGCACUGUUAUAGAGUUUAUGCCACCCAGGAUAACUAGAUACCUCUUAUCAUGCAGAAAAGAACGGAGCUUCUUGGUGAUAUCAGUAUCUUCCCCUUCUGAUGAUAGUCAACAUGAGUGUGCUCUUCCCAAUACCAGUCUCCCCCAAUAUGGAAAUGAAUCUUUGCUGUGGAGUAUGUUCAUGAGAAAGGAGAUGAUUCUCCAGUGCCCUCAAGUAACCAUCAAAUCCCACCGGAGCGUCCCCAAUGUUGUCCCUGGAAAUUGAGUUGCAUGAAGGAUUAAAUGAUUGUGGAAUCGGUAAUGACUUCACUAGAUAAUUCAAAUUCAAUUAUAGUCGCAUACCAUGCAGCAACUUCUGUGAUGGAAGAUGUCCAUGCCCCAGAGAUUUGCGUGGUGCAGCCGGUUAAGUAUCUGCGCCAGAUUCUCCAACCACGGUAACCCUGGGCCUCUAGAUCGACCUGCAGUCAUGUAAGAGAACCACCAAUCAUUUGUAACCCAAUGACGUAUAUCACUUCUUUGAACACAUAGCAUCACAUCGUGUUGUUACCAGUAGCUAGAAUUUCUGGCAUAGGAGGUACAAGUACAGUGGGAAAAAUUCACGAACCUGCAGCCAUCCACAUAUGCAUCUACACCAGAUUUGCAUCAUUUACUUACCCCCUAUGUCCUAGUUUGUACUGAAAAAAACUGCCUCCUCCCUAUCUGUUCACAAUUAUCAGCAUUGACAAUGGAUGUCUUGUGUUUCUUCGUUCUUUUA
Oryza sativa Japonica Group (Japanese rice) is the source of this 3280-nucleotide non-coding RNA. Lineage: Eukaryota; Viridiplantae; Streptophyta; Magnoliopsida; Poales; Poaceae. The record is from RefSeq and is a predicted model, not a curated record.